Pelmatolapia mariae (spotted tilapia) is the source of this 522-nucleotide long non-coding RNA. RefSeq lists it as uncharacterized. The transcript is spliced from 3 exons. NCBI's taxonomy places the organism in Eukaryota, Metazoa, Chordata, Actinopteri, Cichliformes, Cichlidae. The record is from RefSeq and is a predicted model, not a curated record.
UGGAACUGAGGUGCUUCGUCAGGAGCUCCUUCAGUUGUUGGAGGAUGGAGAAGAGGACGCAGCCAUGACUUGUGAGACGUCGUCUGAGUCAGCUGCUACUCACUGGGCGAUCAGAAAUAUGGUGUCCUCGCAAAAGUGGAAAGAGGCCAGGCCUUGUCUUAUAGACAAUAUGUUAGCUACUCUGGAUCCACAGUCACACCGUGUGUGUCAGUGUGGCAAACAAGUAGUUGUGAGGUGUCUGGACUGCCUGCCUCUUCCAUUCCUUUGUGCUGACUGUGAUAUUGCAGUUCACACACGCUUUGUCCUGCACAACAGAGAGGCAGUAACAGGAGGGUUUUUGCAGCCUUCAUCAGAGUUUCACAAGCCAAUUGUUCGGCUGUUGCCUGUCCAAAGGCCAGACCAUGUGUGUGACUGCCCAGCAGGUAACGUUGAGGUUUCACCCGGCUCAAUUGUGGCUCUUGUAACCAUAAAUGGCCGUUAUAACCUUGCACUGCCAGUGGUGAGAUGCACCAGCUGUGGCCU